CCUACGGGAGGCAGCAGUGAGGAAUAUUGGUCAAUGGUCGGGAGACUGAACCAGCCAAGCCGCGUGAGGGAUGAAGGUACAGAGUAUCGUAAACCUCUUUUGUCAGGGAACAAAGGCGGGGACGCGUCCCCGGAUGAGUGUACCUGAAGAAAAAGCAUCGGCUAACUCCGUGCCAGCAGCCGCGGUAAUACGGAGGAUGUGAGCGUUAUCCGGAUUUAUUGGGUUUAAAGGGUGCGCAGGCGGUCUGUUAAGUCAGCGGUGAAAGCCCGGGGCUCAACCCCGGCCCGCCGUUGAAACUGGCAGUCUCGAGUUGGCGAGAAGUAGGCGGAAUGCGCGGUGUAGCGGUGAAAUGCAUAGAUAUCGCGCAGAACUCCGAUUGCGAAGGCAGCAUGCCGGCUCCACACUGACGCUGAGGCACGAAAGCGUGGGUAUCGAACAGGAGUAGAUACCCGAGUAGUC
This 459-nucleotide ribosomal RNA is filed under the name uncultured bacterium. RNAcentral's name for it is "partial 16S ribosomal RNA". It matches the Rfam family "Bacterial small subunit ribosomal RNA", at positions 338 to 795 of the family's 1533-position model. The record is from RNAcentral.